RNAcentral lists this unclassified non-coding RNA (327 nucleotides) under soil metagenome. RNAcentral describes it as "partial contains 5.8S ribosomal RNA, internal transcribed spacer 2, and large subunit ribosomal RNA". The stretch from base 1 to 120 matches the Rfam family "5.8S ribosomal RNA", at positions 35 to 154 of the family's 154-position model. The record is from RNAcentral.
GAUGAAGAACGUAGCGAAAUGCGAUAAGUAAUGUGAAUUGCAGAAUUCAGUGAAUCAUCGAAUCUUUGAACGCACAUUGCGCCCCUUGGUAUUCCGAGGGGCAUGCCUGUUCGAGCGUCAUUAUAACCCCUCAAGCUCAGCUUGAUGUUGGGGCCUGCUGCACUGGCAGCCCUUAAAAUCAGUGGCGGCGCCAUCUGGCUCUAAGCGUAGUAAUUCUUCUCGCUAUGGAGUCCUGGUGGAUGCUUGCCAUCAACCCCCAAUUUUUCUAUGGUUGACCUCGGAUCAGGUAGGGAUACCCGCUGAACUUAAGCAUAUCAAAGCGGAGGA